RNAcentral lists this long non-coding RNA (407 nucleotides) under Homo sapiens (human). RNAcentral's name for it is "non-protein coding lnc-SEC61G-7:12". The record is from RNAcentral. Lineage: Eukaryota; Metazoa; Chordata; Mammalia; Primates; Hominidae.
AGAGGUGCCUCCUACAAUAACAGAGAUGGGCUGCAAACAUUGGAUGACCUGUGGCAGAGCACGGAAAGAAGGCAAGGAUGACAGCUACAUGCAGACAAGGUCUCCAGAUUUGCCACCCAUGCUGAGUGCCGUGGUGUGAUCAUGGCUUAUUUCAACCUCAACCUCCCCCACUCAAGCGAUCCUCCUGCCUCAGCCUCUGGAGUAGCUGGGACUACAGGCACGCACCACCACACCCAGCCAUAAUUUGCCUCUUGCUGUAACUAAAAGGUCACAAAAACAAAGAAUUCUAAAAAAUCUUCUUCUUAAGUGGUAUGUUUAGUAUUUAUCAUGAUGACAAUGUUCUAAAUUGCACCUGCCUCCACUAGCAGAAUGCCAGGAUUACUGCCAGACAGAGAAUUCGGACUGCU